UUGCUUUUAGGUUAAAGUUUUAAACCCUAAUUCUUAUACAAUUAAAAUAUUUAUAGAGUAAAAAAAAAUAGU
This 72-nucleotide transfer RNA is filed under the name Aplidium tabarquensis. RNAcentral describes it as "transfer RNA-Met(UAU)". Lineage: Eukaryota; Metazoa; Chordata; Ascidiacea; Aplousobranchia; Polyclinidae. The record is from RNAcentral.